This 500-nucleotide ribosomal RNA is filed under the name uncultured bacterium. Its description in RNAcentral is "partial 16S ribosomal RNA". It matches the Rfam family "Bacterial small subunit ribosomal RNA", at positions 30 to 523 of the family's 1533-position model. The record is from RNAcentral.
AUUGAGCGCUGGCGGCAGGCCUAACACAUGCAAGUCGAGCGGUUGACGGGAGCUUGCUCCCUGAUUCAGCGGCGGACGGGUGAGUAAUGCCUAUGAAUCUGCCUAUUAGUGGGGGACAACGUUUCGAAAGGAACGCUAAUACCGCAUACGUCCUACGGGAGAAAGCAGGGGACCUUCGGGCCUUGCGCUAAUCGAUGAGCCUAGGUCGGAUUAGCUUGUUGGUGAGGUAAUGGCUCACCAAGGCGACGAUCCGUAACUGGUCUGAGAGGAUGAUCAGUCACACUGGAACUGAGACACGGUCCAGACUCCUACGGGAGGCAGCAGUGGGGAAUAUUGGACAAUGGGCGAAAGCCUGAUCCAGCCAUGCCGCGUGUGUGAAGAAGGUCUUCGGAUUGUAAAGCACUUUAAGUUGGGAGGAAGGGUUGUAGAUUAAUACUCUGCAAUUUUGACGUUACCGACAGAAUAAGCACCGGCUAACUCUGUGCCAGCCGCCGCGGUAA